This 240-nucleotide ribosomal RNA is filed under the name uncultured bacterium. RNAcentral describes it as "partial 16S ribosomal RNA". It matches the Rfam family "Bacterial small subunit ribosomal RNA", at positions 96 to 334 of the family's 1533-position model. The record is from RNAcentral.
UGGCGAACGGGUGAGUAACGCGUGAGGAACCUGCCUCAAAGAGGGGGACAACAGUUGGAAACGACUGCUAAUACCGCAUAAGCCCACGACCCGGCAUCGGGAAGAGGGAAAAGGAGCAAUCCGCUUUGAGAUGGCCUCGUGUCCGAUUAGCUAGUUGGUGAGGUAACGGCCCACCAAGGCGACGAUCGGUAGCCGGACUGAGAGGUUGAACGGCCACAUUGGGACUGAGACACGGCCCAG